CCUAGAGAUAAGGGAUGUAGGGUCAGGUUCAGGUGACCUAGAGAUAAGGGAUGUAGGUUCAGGUGACCUAGAGAUAAGGGAUGUAGGGUCAGGUUCAGGUGACCUAGAGAUAAGGGAUGUAGGUUCAGGUGACCUAGAGAUAAGGGAUGUAGGGUCAGGUUCAGGUGACCUAGAGAUAAGGGAUGUAGGUUCAGGUGACCAAGAGAUAAGGGAUGUAGGUUCAGCUGACCUAGAGAUAAGGGAUGUAGGUUCAGGUGACCUAGAGUUAAGGGAUGUAGGGUCAGGUUCAGGUGACCUAGAGAUAAGGGAUGUAGG
This 315-nucleotide long non-coding RNA is filed under the name Salmo salar (Atlantic salmon). RNAcentral describes it as "lncRNA (ENSSSAG00000104468.1)". Lineage: Eukaryota; Metazoa; Chordata; Actinopteri; Salmoniformes; Salmonidae. The record is from RNAcentral.